CCUACGGGUGACAGCAGUGAGGAAUAUUGGUCAAUGGACGCAAGUCUGAACCAGCCAUGCCGCGUGCAGGAAGACGGCUCUAUGAGUUGUAAACUGCUUUUGUACGAGGGUAAACGCAGAUACGCGUAUCUGUCUGAAAGUAUCGUACGAAUAAGGAUCGGCUAACUCCGUGCCAGCAGCCGCGGUAAUACGGAGGAUUCAAGCGUUAUCCGGAUUUAUUGGGUUUAAAGGGUGCGUAGGCGGGCGGAGAAGUUAGACGUGAAAUCCCGAGGAUCAACUUCGGAACUGCCUGGGAUACUGGUCGGCUAGAGAGUAGGAGAGGUAGGCGGAAUGUAUGGUGUAGCGGUGAAAUGCUUAGAGAUCAUACAGAACACCGAUUGCGAAGGCAGCUUACCAAGCUACUUCUGACGUUGAGGCACGAAAGCGUGGGGAGCAAACAGGAUUAGAUACCCCUGUAGUC
This 460-nucleotide ribosomal RNA is filed under the name uncultured bacterium. RNAcentral's name for it is "partial 16S ribosomal RNA". It matches the Rfam family "Bacterial small subunit ribosomal RNA", at positions 338 to 795 of the family's 1533-position model. The record is from RNAcentral.